GACGAACGCUGGCGGCGUGCCUAAUACAUGCAAGUAGAACGCACAGUUUAUACCGUAGCUUGCUACACCAUAAACUGUGAGUUGCGAACGGGUGAGUAACGCGUAGGUAACCUGCCUGGUAGCGGGGGAUAACUAUUGGAAACGAUAGCUAAUACCGCAUAAUAUUGAUUAUUGCAUGAUAAUUGAUUGAAAGAUGCUAUCGCAUCACUACCAGAUGGACCUGCGUUGUAUUAGCUAGUAGGUGAGGUAACGGCUCACCUAGGCGACGAUACAUAGCCGACCUGAGAGGGUGAUCGGCCACACUGGGACUGAGACACGGCCCAGACUCCUACGGGAGGCAGCAGUAGGGAAUCUUCGGCAAUGGACGAAAGUCUGACCGAGCAACGCCGCGUGAGUGAAGAAGGUUUUCGGAUCGUAAAGCUCUGUUGUAAGAGAAGAACGGGUGUGAGAGUGGAAAGUUCACACUGUGACGGUAUCUUACCAGAAAGGGACGGCUAACUACGUG
RNAcentral lists this ribosomal RNA (505 nucleotides) under uncultured bacterium. Its description in RNAcentral is "partial 16S ribosomal RNA". It matches the Rfam family "Bacterial small subunit ribosomal RNA", at positions 28 to 507 of the family's 1533-position model. The record is from RNAcentral.